RNAcentral lists this long non-coding RNA (5168 nucleotides) under Daucus carota (carrot). RNAcentral describes it as "long non-coding RNA (DCAR_LNC001573)". The record is from RNAcentral. Lineage: Eukaryota; Viridiplantae; Streptophyta; Magnoliopsida; Apiales; Apiaceae.
UAAGUAAUAUAUAAAAAGCAAGAAAAAGCUUUUGUCAAGUGCACUUGCUGUUUGCGUAACAAAAAGAGGCAUGGAUACCUUAGAAACAACAGCAAAGAAGCAGGGCCAUGUAGUUUGCAUACCUUUUCCCAUUCAAAGCCACAUUAAGGCAAUGCUCAAGAUGGCAAAGCUACUUUAUAGCAAAGGCAUUUUUGUUACAUUUGUGAAUACAGAGUACAAUCACAAGCGCUUCCUUAAAUCAGGAGGUGCUCAGGCUCUUGAUGGCUUGCCUGGUUUUAAUUUUGAAUCAAUUCCAGAUGGCCUGCCGCCUUUGUCCGAUUCUGACGCCACGCAAGACAUACCUGCACUUUGUCAUUCCGUCUUAGAGAAAGAAAUGUUGCUUCCUUUUCAGAACCUCCUCGCACAACUCAAUACCGGAACAAACCAGGUCACUUCCAUCCUCUCUGAUGGCUUCAUGCCAUUUGCAGCUGACGCGGCACAUUCCCAUGAAGUUCCUAUAAUUUUGCUUUGGACAGUUGCUGCUUGUGGAUUCAUGGGAUUUUUUCAGUUCAAAAAUGCCCUUGAAAGAGGCCUUGUACCAUUCAAAGGUGAGAAAAUUUAAAUCCAGCAUCAACAUUGUUAGAAUUAUCAAUAAAAUUAUUAAAGAUAGUCUAGGUAGUCUGAUAAUUUAUUUGUUUUGCGAAAAUUAUCUGUUGCGUGGAUUGUACAAGAAUACCUGGCCCUUUCUUGUUUUCAUGUCAAUAAAUCUUAACAAACACAAUUUGAAUACUGCAGAUGACAGCUAUUUAACAAAUGGUUAUUUGGACACCAUUAUAGACUGGAUCCCUGGAAUGGGUGAGAUUCGCUUUGGGGAUCUCCCAAGCCAUAUCAGAAUCAAUGAUCCAGAUGAAAUAGUAUUCAAGUUCAUAAUGGAAUCUACUCAGAGCGCAACUAAUGCUACAGGACAUGUAUUUCAUACUUUUGAUGAUUUGGAGCUAAAAGUUGUGAAUGCCAUCUCAUCUAUGUUUAAGGGUGUCCACACAAUAGGCCCCCAACAGUUGCUUCUGAACCAAAUACCGACAGAUCAGGAAGAGAGUCUCAGGAGCAUUGGAUACAGUCUUUGGGAAGAGGACAAGACAUGUCUCGAAUGGUUGGACUCUAAAGAAGCUGAUUCUGUAGUUUACAUAAACUUUGGAAGCAUAACAGUCUUGUCCCCGGAGCAAUUGAUGGAGUUUGGCUGGGGGCUAGCUAACAGCAACUGCUCCUUCUUAUGGAUAAUUAGGCCAGAUUUGAUCGUGGGUGAAUCUGACAUUACUCUUGGAAAUGAAUUCAUGGACGCUAUCAAGAACAGGGGCCUCAUUGCAAGCUGGUGUCCCCAAGAGGAUGUUCUGAACCACGUAUCCGUGGGAGGGUUUUUGACACAUGGAGGGUGGAACUCAAUCAUUGAGAGCAUAUCUGCUGGAGUGCCCAUGCUCUGUUGGCCUUUCUUCGGUGAUCAAACAACAAACUGUAAGUACAUGUGCCACGAAUGGGAGUGCGGAAUGGAGAUUCGUAAUGAUGUUAACAGAGAUGAUGUGGAGAAGCUUGUUAGGCUAUUGAUGGACGGAGUGGAGGGUAAGAAAAUGAGAAACAAAACCAUGCAGUGGAAAAAAAUGGCAGAAAAGGCCUGUCAGCCUGAUGGCUCAUCUUCCCUUAAUUUGGACAAACUGGUUCUUCUAUUGAAAAACUAAAACACUAGAUUUCCAGUUACCUUUUCCAAACUUUGUGAGCUUUUGCUUGCUUCUAGCUUUAUCAGGUCUCAGCAUUUUAUUUCCUGUCAUGCUUAAAUUAUGCAGCUCCUCUAUUACUGUCCUAAAUGUUCAUUGUAAAAUUUUAUCAAAGGACAAUGCUGGUUUCGAUACAAGUAGCCAGUAUUCGUAGAUGAAAUAAUGCCAGUGGAGCACGAUUAUCAUCUAUACAAUUGCAAAGAAAUGCUACCUGUAUGAACUGUAGUUUGCAUAUAGCUACCAUAUUAAAUAACCAUCUUCCAUCUCCAUCAUACCGUUAAAAUGUUUUGCCCAGUUCUACAUUGGUUUUAUUAAUUCUAUUUGUGAAGAUCGGUUUCUUAUAAGCUACAAGGUAAACGUGCAACAAGCUAUACCUGACUGGAAGACAUCGUCAAGUAGGUACUUCUUCACUACACAUUUUUUUUCCUAUUUAUUUUUUGUUUCUCUUACAGUAAAGAUGCUGUAAGCCAACAUACUGGAUCAGUCUUAUGAGAACGCCGCGGAAAUGAUUGAUCAUAUUAAUUAAUAUAUUUAUAAGAUUUUGAUGUAAAACUAAUCAUAAAAAUGAUUGAUCAUAUGGAUUAGGUAAGAAUGAUUGAUCAAAAUAAUAUAUUUACCAUGGAUUAGGUAAAAUGAUUGAUCAUAUUAAUUAAUAUAUUUAGAGGUCGAUUGGUUUAAUUCCUGAAAACACAGUAUUAUAUAAUUUCAAAAGAGUUAAUGAUAUUUAUGUUUAUAAUAAUAUAUUUUAUUUUUAUUUUUAAUAAUUAAUAUAAUUUAUUAUUUAAAAAUAUUAUUAUUUUAAAUAAUUUGACUUGUACAUUGUAUUAAAAUAAUUUUAAUUUAUAAAAACUAAAUUAAAAUUUAUUUUUGAUUUUCAAAAAAAUAUUUACAUAAGGCCUUUGUUUUUAAUGAUUUUUGAAAUAUAUUAUUAAUGAAAAUGAAAAAAAUGAAUAAGUAAAGGGAUUAGGUAAACAUAAAAUUAAAAAUGGAAAGACAAUGACAAUUUUUAUAAAACAAACACUAACAAAGGGAAUUAAAUUUAUUGUUUCUCUUUCCUUUUGUUAGUUACCUUUAUACAAACGAUCCUUUAUACUAUUUUAAAAUUUGUAUUUGUAAAACUUCUGUAAUUUAAUGAAUUGAUUAUAAUAAUCAAGUUUAAAUAUGUAAUUUUGUUAAUAAUUGAUAUAGUAUUCGAUAAAUUAACUAGUGCGAUGAGAUUUGCUAGCAUUUUAGUCGAGGAUCCCAAUAAUCAAAAUAUGUUAUAUUAUAAUUUAUACGAAGUACAUAUAAUUUUUUUUGAGCAUCCCAUCACAUAAAAUCAUUAGCUAAAUAUUUUAUAUAUAGAAAUUAUAGGAAUUGUCUAGAAAAAUUUGAUCUGGAUGGGACAAAAUUAUUGUAUACUCCCCCGUCCCUGAGUAGUAUACAUUGGGGGAAGGGGACGCGGCACGGACUUUAAUGCUCCUGUAAAAUGUAGUUAUGUAAUUUAUUUUUAAAAUUUUCUUUUUCUGAAUUAAAGUUUGGAUGUUAUAUUUUUAUUCAGAAAAAGAAAAUCUCAAAAAUAAGUCACGGAACUAUGUUUUUAUAAGAGCAUUGAAAUGCGUGUCGAGCAAUUGAAAAGAAACGUAUACAAUUAAAUGGGAUAGAGGGAGUAUAAUUUUAAUCCAGAUUAGCUGUACAGACGUAUAAAUAUAUGUUACAAGAUUUCACAUCAUUUAUUAUAAUAUUUAAAUAGAAGAUAUUUUAUUUACAACAACUUGAAAUAAUAAUAAUAUAUCAUUUUUAAAUAUAUACGACCCAUAUAGUAGUAUCAUGAAGCAAAUGUUUUAUAAUUGACGGAGUAUAAUAUUUUGGAGUAUAAUAUUUUACUUGUUCAAUCUAAUAAAUUAUUUUUAAGACAAUAUUAUCGGAGAUGCUCCGGAUAAGAUUGUAGAAUAAUUCAAACAUUCAUUGCUUUCGAUUAAUAGGGUCUGUAGUGUGCCAUAUUGAGUCGAUUUAGUAAAUGCUGAUGAAUUUCGUCCACAUAUCUGUUGUCGGUAGAGGUUCACUGUGUGCUCUAAAUUAUUGAAUUUGGACAAACAGUAUUCAUAUCAUUAUUCUUACUAUUAUUCUUUUGACAUCGUCUAAUAGUCGUUACUGAAUUCACAUACAAAAAACACUCUGAAAUUUAUAGUGCGUUUCUUGAAAAAAUUGUGGCUAUUUUUUGAAUAUCAAAUUACAAACUCUUACUCCUUCCAUAUUAAAAUAAGAGUCUUUUUGACUUUUUACAUAUAAUUUGAAGUAGAAAAGACAUGUUUCUAAAUAUUAUUCUUCAAAAUUUUUUAAAAAGAUUGUAAAUAUUAAACUUUUAUUUAGGUAGAAGAAAAUUUUAAAAAUAAUAUGUACGAUAAUGUUUUUUUAUAUCAAAACAGAUAAAAGAAGUAUAUAUGCUAAUAUUAUUAAAAAUAAUUAAUGAUUUAUAAAUCUUUGUUUCAUGAUGUAAGUUCACAGGGUAAACAGUAAAAAUUAUUCUCUCUCAAGAAUCAGGUCAACGAGUGCUUAUAAUUUAAAUCUACUAUUGUAUUUGUAUUGUGCCAAUAGUCUUCAUGUAUAAGGGUAACCAAAUUUGGGCGGGAGUAUUGUAAUCAACUACUCCAUGUAUAUGACUUUCAUUUAUUUUUUUUAGUGUUGUGAUCGGAUAAUUAAAAAUAUUAUUUUUUAAAUUUUUUUUUCUAAAUAAAAAUAUGUAAUAAAAAAUUAAAUUCAUAAAAAGAUAAAUUAAAAAUAACAUUUUUUACUAGCCGGUUACGGUGCCCAAGUCAAAGUGACAUAUAAAAAAACAUAGUUUCGGGUUCCAUUUCCUACCUGAAAAAUAACGGUGAUGGUGGUAGAAUGUGCAAAAUAGCAAUUAACCGAGAUGCUCGAAAACUGACCAUGCACCAGCACAUGCUCUUUUUACUAGAUCCCCUCAAAGAUCUAGUUUAUCUGUAUUUUGUUCGGGCAUUUUAAGCACCAAUCAUUUGUACUAGUAUUUAUUUGCUUCAAGAUAUCAGUGAGUAAUACUAUAUAAAAAGCAAGAAAAAGCUUUUGCCAAGUGCACUUGCUGUCUGCGUAACAAAAAGAGGCAUGGAUACCUUAGAAACAACAGCAAACAAGCAGGGCCAUGUAGUUUGCAUACCUUUUCCCUGUCAAAGCCACAUUAAGGCAAUGCUCAAGAUGGCAAAGCUCCUAUAUAGCAAAGGCAUUUUCGUUACAUUUGUGAAUACCGACUACAAUCAUAAGCGCUUCCUCAAAUCAGGAGGUGCUCAGGCUCUUGAUGGCCUGCCUGGUUUUAAUUUUGAAUCAAUUCCCGAUGGCCUGCAUUCAUCUGAUUCUGAUGUCACGCAAGAUAUAACUGCCCUUUGUCAUUCCAUCUUUGAGAAAGAAAUGUUGCUUCCUUUUAAGAAC